UCAGUAAGAGCCCUGAGAGAUGAUCAGGUAGAUAGGUUAGAAGUGGAAGUGUGGCGACACAUGUAGCGGACUAAUACUAAUAGCUCGAGGACUUAUCCAAA
RNAcentral lists this ribosomal RNA (101 nucleotides) under Streptococcus mitis. RNAcentral's name for it is "partial 23S ribosomal RNA". It matches the Rfam family "Bacterial large subunit ribosomal RNA", at positions 2825 to 2925 of the family's 2925-position model. Lineage: Bacteria; Bacillati; Bacillota; Bacilli; Lactobacillales; Streptococcaceae. The record is from RNAcentral.